GCCUUAUUUUGUUUUUAAUUGUAAUUUGUUGGGUUUUUUUUUUGUUAUUGGGCCUCUUUAUUUUUACAAAAAAUAAAAAUAAAAAAUAGGGCAAAUGCCCAAUCUUAUAUGGGUUCACUUGGUUCGCUGAAUCAGCCCCCAAACGAAUUUCAAUUGCAAUGAAAAAGGAAACUGGCAAUGCAAUCGUGCAAACCCUGUCCGCUAUCUCUAUUCUAAACAUCUCAAUCCUUCCCUUGAAUUCUCGCACCCAACCCCUGCCCUGUGACGAUGUGGUCUGUUGUCGACUAUCGAUGCCUAGCUUCUUCGGUCUUCACCACUGGCCUUCGCUGUUGUGAGGUAGUGAAUUUACUGCCUCUAUUUUUUAUUUUUUUUCUUUUGUGUGGUUUUUGUUCUUUUAGAGUUUAGUUCAUUUUUUUUAUUUAUCAUUUAUGAUUUAUUCUUUAUGAGUUAUGGAUGUGUUUUUGAGAUUGUUGACUAUGGGGAUUUAGAUUUUUGAGAAUUGGGGAUUUUGUGAAUUCGAGAAUAUUUGAUAUACAUGGACAGUGAAUAUGAUUUGUAAUAAAUGACAAUGAUAAAUUGAAGAAUUUGUAUGAUAAAUAAUAAGUUGUUGGAAAUUGGAAACUUAAACUUGGUGAUAGUUUUAUUUGUGAUUUACUUUUAUGAAAAUUGGGAGUUUAUAUUUUAGGCAUUUACAUAUAUAUUGAAUAAUUUUUAAUAUUUUUUUAAUUAAAUAUUAAUAAACAAUCUUGAUAUUACGACUGUUGAUUACCAACAGUCAACGAUCAACGGUUGCACUAUCUGAAUCCUAUUGUGGCUGCAUGUGCAGCACCUUAAGAAAGGGA
RNAcentral lists this long non-coding RNA (842 nucleotides) under Olea europaea subsp. europaea. Lineage: Eukaryota; Viridiplantae; Streptophyta; Magnoliopsida; Lamiales; Oleaceae. The record is from RNAcentral.